Molecule: ribosomal RNA, 476 nt
Filed under: Clostridioides difficile
Lineage: Bacteria; Bacillati; Bacillota; Clostridia; Peptostreptococcales; Peptostreptococcaceae
Description: bacterial LSU rRNA
Rfam family: Bacterial large subunit ribosomal RNA
Source: RNAcentral
GGGAGUGAAAUAGAACCUGAAACCCUGCACUUACAAGCUGUGGAAGCACAUUUCUUGUGUGACCGCGUACUUUUUGUAGAACUGGCUAAGGAGUGACGUUAAGUAGCACGGUUAAGCACUUAAGGUGCGGAGGCGUAGCGAAAGCGAGUUUUAACUGAGCGUUCAGUUACUUGACGUAGACCCGAACACGGGCGACCUACCCAUGGGCAGGAUGAAGCGAAAGUAAAAUGUCGUGGAGGUCCGAACCCACGAGCGUUGAAAAGCUCGGGGAUGACUUGUGGGUAGCGGUGAAAUUCCAAUCGAGCCCGGAGAUAGCUGGUUCUCCCCGAAAUAGCUUUAGGGCUAGCCUCAAGGUGAGAGAUACGGAGGUAGAGCACUGAAUGUCCUAGGGGGUAUUGCACCUACCGAAGACUAUCAAACUCCGAAUGCCGUCAUCUUAUACUUGGGAGUCAGACUGUGGGUGAUAAGAUUCAUAG